RNAcentral lists this long non-coding RNA (442 nucleotides) under Olea europaea subsp. europaea. The record is from RNAcentral. Lineage: Eukaryota; Viridiplantae; Streptophyta; Magnoliopsida; Lamiales; Oleaceae.
GUUUGCUUAGAGUUGUGAUUACAAAAGACAUUUGCUGGUAGCUACCUUCCUAUUGGUUAGGUCAAGGUUAAAUCGAUCCACUAAUAACAUCGUGGGCACUUGUCUCUUGCUGACGGUUGAGGAUUCCGGAUUCUAGCACAUUCUAUACAUGUGUACCUAUCUAAUUUGCAAGGUUGAUAUCAAUAAAUCAAUUCAUAAGCAUUUGGUGUGUAAUGUGUUUGCGUUAAUUUUUGAGGUUACACUUAAAGAUCCAGAUUGCUGCAUCGGGCCAAAGAAGAGGGUCAGUCUCUACUACUCAGACAUCUCGUGUGACCCUUGAAGAUAUCAAACUCAAAUUCAUUGACAUGGCCACCUCCAGAUUGCAGAGGAGAAACAGAAAUUAUGUGGACGCCUUAAAGCAUAAUGGAAGAUACCUUGAAAUCUUGUAUUCACCUCUUAUUUU